This 902-nucleotide ribosomal RNA is filed under the name Salmonella enterica subsp. enterica serovar Infantis. Its description in RNAcentral is "partial 23S ribosomal RNA". It matches the Rfam family "Bacterial large subunit ribosomal RNA", at positions 681 to 1503 of the family's 2925-position model. The record is from RNAcentral. Lineage: Bacteria; Pseudomonadati; Pseudomonadota; Gammaproteobacteria; Enterobacterales; Enterobacteriaceae.
GUCUUAAUUGGGCGUUAAGUUGCAGGGUAUAGACCCGAAACCCGGUGAUCUAGCCAUGGGCAGGUUGAAGGUUGGGUAACACUAACUGGAGGACCGAACCGACUAAUGUUGAAAAAUUAGCGGAUGACCUGUGGCUGGGGGUGAAAGGCCAAUCAAACCGGGAGAUAGCUGGUUCUCCCCGAAAGCUAUUUAGGUAGCGCCUCGUGAAUUCAUCUCCGGGGGUAGAGCACUGUUUCGGCUAGGGGGCCAUCCCGGCUUACCAACCCGAUGCAAACUGCGAAUACCGGAGAAUGUUAUCACGGGAGACACACGGCGGGUGCUAACGUCCGUCGUGAAGAGGGAAACAACCCAGACCGCCAGCUAAGGUCCCAAAGUCAUGGUUAAGUGGGAAACGAUGUGGGAAGGCCCAGACAGCCAGGAUGUUGGCUUAGAAGCAGCCAUCAUUUAAAGAAAGCGUAAUAGCUCACUGGUCGAGUCGGCCUGCGCGGAAGAUGUAACGGGGCUAAACCAUGCACCGAAGCUGCGGCAGCGAACGUAUCACUUAAAGCGAUUCAGCGGGUUACGAUUGACGGAGCGAAGCGACGUCAAAGCGUAUACAAAGUCGAGUCGGUUUAAGGAUACGUUCGUUGGGUAGGGGAGCGUUCUGUAAGCCUGUGAAGGUGUGUCGUGAGGCAUGCUGGAGGUAUCAGAAGUGCGAAUGCUGACAUAAGUAACGAUAAAGCGGGUGAAAAGCCCGCUCGCCGGAAGACCAAGGGUUCCUGUCCAACGUUAAUCGGGGCAGGGUGAGUCGACCCCUAAGGCGAGGCCGAAAGGCGUAGUCGAUGGGAAACGGGUUAAUAUUCCCGUACUUGGUGUUACUGCGAAGGGGGGACGGAGAAGGCUAUGUUGGCCGGGCGACGGUU